UGGCGGCGUGCCUAAUACAUGCAAGUCGAGCGAAUGGAUUAAGAGCUUGCUCUUAUGAAGUUAGCGGCGGACGGGUGAGUAACACGUGGGUAACCUGCCCAUAAGACUGGGAUAACUCCGGGAAACCGGGGCUAAUACCGGAUAACAUUUUGAACCGCAUGGUUCGAAAUUGAAAGGCGGCUUCGGCUGUCACUUAUGGAUGGACCCGCGUCGCAUUAGCUAGUUGGUGAGGUAACGGCUCACCAAGGCAACGAUGCGUAGCCGACCUGAGAGGGUGAUCGGCCACACUGGGACUGAGACACGGCCCAGACUCCUACGGGAGGCAGCAGUAGGGAAUCUUCCGCAAUGGACGAAAGUCUGACGGAGCAACGCCGCGUGAGUGAUGAAGGCUUUCGGGUCGUAAAACUCUGUUGUUAGGGAAGAACAAGUGCUAGUUGAAUAAGCUGGCACCUUGACGGUACCUAACCAGAAAGCCACGGCUAACUACGUGCCAGCA
RNAcentral lists this ribosomal RNA (496 nucleotides) under Bacillus anthracis (anthrax bacterium). RNAcentral's name for it is "bacterial SSU rRNA". It matches the Rfam family "Bacterial small subunit ribosomal RNA", at positions 37 to 513 of the family's 1533-position model. The record is from RNAcentral. Lineage: Bacteria; Bacillati; Bacillota; Bacilli; Caryophanales; Bacillaceae.